Molecule: ribosomal RNA, 460 nt
Filed under: uncultured bacterium
Lineage: Bacteria
Description: partial 16S ribosomal RNA
Rfam family: Bacterial small subunit ribosomal RNA
Source: RNAcentral
CCUACGGGAGGCAGCAGUGAGGAAUAUUGGUCAAUGGGCGCGAGCCUGAACCAGCCAAGUCGCGUGAGGGAGGAAGGCCCUACGGGUUGUAAACCUCUUUUGCCGGGGAGCAACGGGCGCCACGUGUGGCGGCACUGAGAGUACCCGAAGAAAAAGCAUCGGCUAACUCCGUGCCAGCAGCCGCGGUCAUACGGAGGAUGCGAGCGUUAUCCGGAUUUAUUGGGUUUAAAGGGUGCGUAGGCGGAUCGUUAAGUCAGUGGUCAAAUGGAGGGGCUCAACCCCUUACAGCCGUUGAAACUGGCGUUCUUGAGUGGGAGAGAAGUAUGCGGAAUGCGUGGUGUAGCGGUGAAAUGCAUAGAUAUCACGCAGAACCCCGAUUGCGAAGGCAGCAUGCCGGCUUCCAACUGACGCUGAGGCACGAAAGCGUGGGGAUCGAACAGGAUUAGAUACCCCAGUAGUC